Acanthopagrus latus (yellowfin seabream) is the source of this 510-nucleotide long non-coding RNA. RefSeq lists it as uncharacterized. The record is from RefSeq and is a predicted model, not a curated record. NCBI's taxonomy places the organism in Eukaryota, Metazoa, Chordata, Actinopteri, Spariformes, Sparidae. The transcript has 2 exons.
AGCACACACAACAUCAUUGCAAAUGACAGUUUCUGAAGAUGGAAAAUCUGUGAGGGUGAAUUUUGGGACAAUGAUUCUACAGCAGAGAGGAAGUCACAGCCACGUCUGCGCUGCUCACCACCAUCAUGAAACGCUCUCAGACAGGAGGAAGUCACAUCAAAGCCGUGGCACCGAGGCUCCAUCCAGACUUAUCCUGGAUCAGCUCAGCUGAGUAUCUAAGACGGAUUCCCCGGUUCACAUCCAGCAGGACGGUCCAAAUCUUAUUUUUGCUUGUUUUGUGUUUAUUUUCUCUCACUUUAUUAUCAAUGAUGCUAGAGGGCAGCACAGGUUCACGGUAUCUCGGUGAUGUUUUGCUGUGUUUGGUCCAUGUCUUAAUAAGUGUUAUCCUAAGUGUCUGCAUUUUUACUAUAUCUCACACAUUCACAGUUCAGUGGCUGUGUCUUGCUGGAGAACACUUAGAUAUGUGACUGGAACAACUCAAUCACCAGAAUAAAUGCUGCUAAAUACGUU